CCUACGGGAGGCAGCAGUUGGGAAUAUUGGGCAAUGGGCGCAAGCCUGACCCCGCAACGCCGCGUGAAGGAAGAAGGCUUUCGGGUUGUACACUUCUUUUCUCAGGGACGAAGCAAGUGACGGUACCUGAGGAAUAAGCCACGGCUAACUACGUGCCAGCAGCCGCGGUAAUACGUAGGUGGCAAGCGUUAUCCGGAUUUACUGGGUGUAAAGGGCGUGUAGGCGGGACUGCAAGUCAGAUGUGAAAACCACGGGCUCAACCUGUGGCCUGCAUUUGAAACUGUAGUUCUUGAGUGCUGGAGAGGCAGACGGAAUUCCUAGUGUAGCGGUGAAAUGCGGAGAUAUUAGGAGGAACACCAGUGGCGAAGGCGGUCUGCUGGACAGCAACUGACGCUGAGGCGCGAAAGCGUGGGGAGCAAACAGGAUUAGAUACCCCUGUAGUC
RNAcentral lists this ribosomal RNA (443 nucleotides) under uncultured bacterium. Its description in RNAcentral is "partial 16S ribosomal RNA". It matches the Rfam family "Bacterial small subunit ribosomal RNA", at positions 338 to 795 of the family's 1533-position model. The record is from RNAcentral.